Molecule: non-coding RNA, 2465 nt
Organism: Gasterosteus aculeatus aculeatus (three-spined stickleback)
Lineage: Eukaryota; Metazoa; Chordata; Actinopteri; Perciformes; Gasterosteidae
Source: RefSeq, a predicted model, not a curated record
AUGUGAAAAAGCCAUGGGUUUAAAGUGUAAUGUAAGUCGCUUUGGAUAAAAGCUUCUGCUAAAUGAUCAAUUAUCAGAAGAAUGCCGUGGCUGCUAAGCUCAUGCUGGAUAUGAUUCUGGUGCUAUAGCCAAACUUAGUACAAAGGAUAUUGCCUGUCUGAUUAUCUUAAAAUCAUGUAUAUUAUAUGUGUACUACUGAUAUGUAAUAUCCUUCUUACAGGGUUUUUUCUGUGCUGUAUUUGUGAUUACAGGGUAAUGUUAGUCAGGAAGAUAUUGUUGAGUCAGCAAGGCGAUUAUUAGACUUAGUAACCUCUUCUGAGAGACACCGGGGAGCCGAUGACACCAAUCAAGAUAUGAGGUUUUGUAUUAAACUGCAAUUCAUGUACAUAUGGCUUACUUUUACUUAUACAUUCUAUACAUGUUGAUGAUUAGGCUUAAUGUAUAUUUUCAGAUCCAAUCCAGCAGAGAACAGAGGCGGGGCGGGGGCGUGAAGAUGGGAGUUCAGCCCUUCAGCCAGAAAGACCCUCAGUUCAAAUGGAAAUGACCAGGUCCUUCCCAGGUAUGUUUACCAAGGCCAGAGGAAAGAGGCGCUUUCCUGCAGCAAAUCUUGUUCCUGCCAAGAGAGCAAAACCGCUUGAAGUGGCUUUGUAUUUGCUGCCAAACCCGUAGGAAAGAACUCCAAAAGAGCAGGAGCAAAUACUCCAUAUGCCGGCCCGGGUUGGGCUGUAGAACCACUCAUGUAGAUGAGAGCACAACACAUGAAGAGGUAGUAAUAUGUAAUUAGUUCUUUAGUCUAGCUUGUAUGUUUAUAUGCAUUAAUAUACAUAUUACAUUAAAGAAGUUAUUUUGUAGAUCCAAAUAUACAUUCAUGUUUGCUCAAGUGAAAUGGAGAAAACUAUGGGUUACUUCUAGUGCUUUAAAGUUAUAACCUGUUAAUCAUAAUCUGUAAGAAUUGAGAUAAACCUUUCUUUCACCCGUAAGCACAAACACAGUCAAAACUGAGUUUUCAAAGGUCACCCUGAAGGGCGUACACCUAACCUGUUUUCCAACAUUUUCGUAUAGACAGAAGGCCAAAUAUCCAACUCCAAUGCACUUUUCUGAUGACCAAAUAGCCUUUCAGAUCCGAUUGGACUGGGAACAUUCUGAGUUGGGGACACAGCCCUAAUAACAGCACCACAACUUGUAUUCAUAGAAAAAACAAUUGCAUGGAUUUUGAUGUUGUCAUUUGAUCUAAUCAAGCUAUCCCUUUUCAGAGUGUUAUGGUUAAAUACACUUGUAUAAUUUUUUUCUCACAGUUAUGUGAUGCCCUCAAAGCAUAAAGCAUCAGGUAGGCCAACACAAGUUUGUUUGUGUUGCUCAUUCGUAUAAAAAGUACAUGUGCAGCAGCUAACUGCACAUUAUGCAAUGAAGACUGUUGAUUUGAUUCAUUCAUAUUAAUUACAGAUGGUUCCCAAAUAAAACUUUAACAAAAUUCUCUUAACUCAUCUCAAGUACAUUUGUUAUUAAGACUGUCUAUGUUGAUUUCAAGGGAAAACAUUUAUUAGGAGUCUUACUGCAAGACAAAAACAAAACUACAAAGUGUUAAAUUGUAAUAACUGUAUUUGAAAAAUAGACAGUUGGCUUCUUCAGUUUAUACUCUAGUCACACAAAAAGUCUAGUUACUUUGACUUAAAUUAAAUAUAUAUUAUGUAUCCAACACACUGUUGAAAGUUUCCAAUCUAAUUUCCAUCUGUAAUGUUUUCCACAGCUGGCUGGGGAAGCCGAAAACUCUGUGUUGUGCCUCCAGAAGAUAGUGGCUUUUCAGGCAGGGUCUUGAAGGCUAUAGGUCGUUGUAAAAGUCUGUUCAUAGCCUCAAUUCAAGAAGAACUUAACACAAAUCCUCUACCACUCAAUGAUGAAGCAUUCAGGAGCAUGCCAAAAGCCAUUUGUCAGAAGUGUGGAGCAGCAGUUCCCCUUCCACUCCUGACAGAAUACAUCAAGUCUUGUGAUGUAAUUGAUGUUGACGAUAACCUGACUAAUGUCGAUAGCGGUGAGCCUGAAGAGAGAAAAUGUCAAAAUUAUUUGUUUAAGAUUUUGUUAGCAUAUUACAUAUCAUUCAUAAAAUGAAUUAAGAAACCUUUUCUUUCAAAAUAUCAUUGUUCUUUCUUGUAACUUCCAUUUCUCAGCAGCAGACAUGCAAGAGUGUCCUGUCUGUGCAGAAAUGUUUACCACUGAUUGUAUUGAGGUACACGCUUCAGCCUGCGGGGAAAGGUAUCCAUUUAGCUGCAAGAAAAAUACUGAAUUUGUCAACUGUAUAGAACGUACUAUAAGUAAGAAAUAGUGUUAACGCUCAGAACAGAAUAACUUUGCUUAAGGGCUAACAUACUCUUAAUUCAUUUGCAUUUUGUCAAAAACAUUAUUUGAAAAGAAUUACCAUAUCAAUUUAUGGUUUGUAUCAAUAUGAAUUAAAGACUGGGGUCCUGGAA